GAUGAACGCUAGCGGGAGGCCUAACACAUGCAAGCCGAGCGGUAUUUGUCUUCGGAACAGAGAGAGCGGCGUACGGGUGCGUAACACGUGUGCAACCUACCUUUAUCAGGGGGAAUAGCCUUUCGAAAGGAAGAUUAAUACUCCAUAAUAUAUUGAAUGGCAUCAUUCGAUAUUGAAAACUCCGGUGGAUAAAGAUGGGCACGCGCAAGAUUAGAUAGUUGGUGAGGUAACGGCUCACCAAGUCAAUGAUCUUUAGGGGUCCUGAGAGGGAGAUCCCCCACACUGGUACUGAGACACGGACCAGACUCCUACGGGAGGCAGCAGUGAGGAAUAUUGGACAAUGGGUGAAAGCCUGAUCCAGCCAUCCCGCGUGAAGGAUGACGGUCCUAUGGAUUGUAAACUUCUUUUGUAUAGGGAUAAACCUAGAUACGUGUAUCUAGCUGAAGGUACUAUACGAAUAAGCACCGGCUAACUCCGUG
RNAcentral lists this ribosomal RNA (479 nucleotides) under uncultured bacterium. Its description in RNAcentral is "bacterial SSU rRNA". It matches the Rfam family "Bacterial small subunit ribosomal RNA", at positions 28 to 507 of the family's 1533-position model. The record is from RNAcentral.